UGUAGCUCAGCGGUAGAGCACUCCCUUGGUAAGGGAGAGGUCUCGGGUUCAAGUCCCGACG
This 61-nucleotide transfer RNA is filed under the name Flavobacteriales bacterium. Its description in RNAcentral is "tRNA-Thr". It matches the Rfam family "tRNA", at positions 6 to 65 of the family's 71-position model. From Rfam's summary of the family: Transfer RNA (tRNA) molecules are approximately 80 nucleotides in length. Lineage: Bacteria; Pseudomonadati; Bacteroidota; Flavobacteriia; Flavobacteriales. The record is from RNAcentral.